GGGCCCGCACAAGCGGAGGAACAUGUGGUUUAAUUCGAUGAUACGCGAGGAACCUUACCCGGGCUUGAAUUGCAACAGAAUAACGCGAAAACGCGUUAGCCGCAAGGCUGUUGUGAAGGUGCUGCAUGGUUGUCGUCAGCUCGUGCCGUGAGGUGUCGGCUUAAGUGCCAUAACGAGCGCAACCCCUAAUUUUCAGUUACUAUCAGGUUAUGCUGGGGACUCUGGAAAGACUGCCGUCGUAAGAUGUGAGGAAGGUUGGGAUGACGUCAAAUCAGCACGGCCCUUAUGUCCGGGGCUACACACGUGUUACAAUGGGAGGUACAACAGGCAGCUACACGGCGACGUGAUGCUAAUCCCCAAAACCUCUCUCAGUUCGGAUUGAAGUCUGCAACCCGACUUCAUGAAGCUGGAUUCGCUAGUAAUCGCGCAUCAGCCACGGCG
This 441-nucleotide ribosomal RNA is filed under the name uncultured Bacteroidota bacterium. RNAcentral's name for it is "bacterial SSU rRNA". It matches the Rfam family "Bacterial small subunit ribosomal RNA", at positions 917 to 1359 of the family's 1533-position model. Lineage: Bacteria; Pseudomonadati; Bacteroidota. The record is from RNAcentral.